Molecule: ribosomal RNA, 253 nt
Filed under: uncultured bacterium
Lineage: Bacteria
Description: partial 16S ribosomal RNA
Rfam family: Bacterial small subunit ribosomal RNA
Source: RNAcentral
UACGGAGGAGGCAAGCGUUAUCCGGAAUUAUUGGGCGUAAAGCGUCCGCAGGUGGCACCUCAAGUCUGCUGUCAAAGACCGGGGCUUAACCCCAGAAAGGCAGUGGAAACUGAAGCGCUAGAGUGCAGUAGGGGUAGAGGGAAUUCCUGGUGUAGCGGUGAAAUGCGUAGAGAUCAGGAAGAACAUCGGUGGCGAAGGCGCUCUGCUGGAUCAUAACUGACACUCAGGGACGAAAGCUAGGGGAGCGAAUGGG